CUUCGGCUCCCUCGAUGGAUUUGCGGCGACGGGUGGGCGGAGUGGUGGUUGGCUCGCAUCGCCGGCGAGGCGGGGGAAAGGUAGCAGCGGCCGUGGCAUCUAGGUGGUCGGCUUCCUGGACGGAUGAACGUUGCAGCACCACAUCGAGCUGAACCGAGAUAAGUUCAGAUUUCAGAAUGGUUGUAGUUUGUCAAUCCGGGAGGACCUGCUCAACAAGUAUGCAGAACAGAUGGUUAACUACUGCAUCACGGCUUCAAACAAUAAUCUGGAUGAUUCAUUGGUUUCACCGGUGAACCUUGUGUGAACAAGAAGAAAGAACAACUUUUACAACUGGAGAACAAACUGGACUAUGUAUGUUCAGAACUACAAAGACAAGAACAUAUGUCAUGAUAAAAGACUCGAAGACGAAAAAUGCAAAUCUAGGAAAUGCGGUGAACUUUUCUGGUUCAUGCUAAUAUUGUAUGUAGCUAGAUUACUGAUUCCCACCCUAUAGGGUAAAGAUUAUAUAUCGUGUAAUCCGGUCUUUCAUUAUAUAGGUAAUGUCAGAUUCAUCAUAGUCUGAAGGUUACACACAGAUAUUUCAUAAUCGCAAACCCUUGCUUCACUCUCUGUA
This is a long non-coding RNA of Lolium rigidum, 613 nucleotides long. RefSeq lists it as uncharacterized. The record is from RefSeq and is a predicted model, not a curated record. Lineage: Eukaryota; Viridiplantae; Streptophyta; Magnoliopsida; Poales; Poaceae. The transcript is spliced from 2 exons.